Ornithorhynchus anatinus (platypus) is the source of this 409-nucleotide long non-coding RNA. RefSeq lists it as uncharacterized. The record is from RefSeq and is a predicted model, not a curated record. The transcript is spliced from 3 exons. NCBI's taxonomy places the organism in Eukaryota, Metazoa, Chordata, Mammalia, Monotremata, Ornithorhynchidae.
AAACCGUAGAGCCGCACCCGCUCGGGGAAGAUGCUGGAGAGGAUGCGUCGGUCCAGCUGGAAGGCAAUUUCCCCCACCAGCCGCUCCCAGCUGCCCCAAGGCGGACUGUCCAUUUCUACCUCGUCACCUCUGCCGAGUGGUUCCCCCGGCCAAAGGAAUGGAUCCAGCUGCCCUCCACCCUCAUCCGCGGGCUGGAUCACCCUCACCUUCACCCUAACCCUCAUCCCCUCACCUGGCGGGGCCAAUCCCACCUCUGGAGUCUAAUCUACCCUCUCCCCUGGAGCUCGCUUCCCUCACCCCCCACCUCAUACAUCCCUCCCUCUCCCCCGACCCAUCUGUCCUUCCCCUACAGCCUCCAUCUCCCACGCUUGGGUUUCAUGAAAAUUAAUAAAGCUCAGCAUCUCCUCUU